GGAGUGAUGAAGGCCUGCGCCCCGCCCCCUCCCCAACUCUGCUCUGCUCCUGAAG
Panthera leo (lion) is the source of this 55-nucleotide small nucleolar RNA. The record is from Ensembl. Lineage: Eukaryota; Metazoa; Chordata; Mammalia; Carnivora; Felidae.